CAGCCGCGGUAAUACGAAGGGUGCAAGCGUUACUCGGAAUUACUGGGCGUAAAGAGCCCGCAGGCGGCCUGUCAAGUUUCAGGUGAAAUCUCCCGGCUCAACUGGGAGGGGUCCUGGAAAACUGGCAGGCUUGAGGCAGGGAGAGGGAUGUGGAAUUCCCGGUGUAGUGGUGAAAUGCGUAGAUAUCGGGAGGAACACCAGUGGCGAAGGCGGCAUCCUGGCCCUGUCCUGACGCUCAGGGGCGAAAGCGUGGGGAGCAAAC
This 262-nucleotide ribosomal RNA is filed under the name uncultured bacterium. Its description in RNAcentral is "partial 16S ribosomal RNA". It matches the Rfam family "Bacterial small subunit ribosomal RNA", at positions 512 to 773 of the family's 1533-position model. The record is from RNAcentral.